UAGGGAAUAUUGGACAAUGGGGGCAACCCUGAUCCAGCCAUGCCGCGUGAGUGAAGAAGGCCCUCGGGUUGUAAAGCUCUUUUGUCCGGAAAGAAAAGCAUUCGGUGAAUACCCGGAUGUUCUGACGGUACCGGAAGAAUAAGCACCGGCUAACUUCGUGCCAGCAGCCGCGGUAAUACGAAGGGUGCAAGCGUUACUCGGAAUUACUGGGCGUAAAGCGUGCGUAGGUGGUUGUUUAAGUCUGAUGUGAAAGCCCUGGGCUCAACCUGGGAAUGGCAUUUGAAACUGGGCAGCUAGAGUGCGGUAGAGGGUAGUGGAAUUCCCGGUGUAGCAGUGAAAUGCGUAGAGAUCGGGAGGAACAUCUGUGGCGAAGGCGACUGCCUGGACCAGCACUGACACUGAGGCACGAAAGCGUGGGGAGCAAACA
Molecule: ribosomal RNA, 427 nt
Filed under: uncultured bacterium
Lineage: Bacteria
Description: bacterial SSU rRNA
Rfam family: Bacterial small subunit ribosomal RNA
Source: RNAcentral